Molecule: long non-coding RNA, 2552 nt
Organism: Cyanistes caeruleus (blue tit)
Lineage: Eukaryota; Metazoa; Chordata; Aves; Passeriformes; Paridae
Source: Ensembl
AUUAAAUGUAAAUAACACUCGGAUGAGAAGAUGAAAACAAGCUCCUGGUCUUGUUCAUGGGGGGGAAAGGGUGGUGAAUUCUCCCUCUCUGUAGUAUGGCAGAGUUAAGUUUCUGCUUUCCCUUGGUCUGACGAUUUUGCCUUUUUGUGGUGGGAUUCCAGCUAAUGCUGCAAAGCUUUCAGGUUCAAUGGGACCAUCACUCUCUGCAGUUUAUCAGUCUUUGGGCGAUGGUCGCACACUACCUUCCUGCAGAAGCCAUGGAAACAUUCUCAGUCUCAUUUCAAAAUUGGGUUUUGAGUGGUUACUAGUUGUAGACUGCCGAAUCAUGAUAAUCCAUCAAAAGCCACGUGGAAAAGGUUGGUAGUAUCCUAAAUGGGACUGCCUGAAACAAAUCUCUUCAAAUUCUACUGUAGCUGCUUCAAAAUGGCUUUAAACAUCCAUUUGCUCAGGAUUUUGUGUGACAUUAUAUGUGUGUGCUUCACAUGUCUGCAAAAAGAGAGGUACCUCAGAAACAACACCUACUAUGGUCUUCAAACACUGUUUGACAAAAAACAGAUGAGAUGAAAGAACAGAAGCUUCAUUGUCUUUUCAGGACUCCUUUAUUCAUCUUGAUAAAUCAGGAGUCUGCUUCCUCCACAAAAUUUGAAAUUAAUUUUUCCAGCUCCUGAUUCUAUUCUAGUGUUUCUCCCAUAGUGUGGAAGGAAGAAGGAGUUCUUGUUGCUGUUAUUAUAUAAUUGCAUACAUUCCUCUAUGACAAAAUGGGUUGUUCCCUUAUGGAUUUUCUUAAAAAUGAAACCAUCAGAGUGAUAUUAACUGAUUUAGUUGGCAAUGUAGAGACGAGUUGAACUCUGCUCUUAGAGUCUUUUUUGUGAGUAAACAGGCUGCUGUAACUUUGAGAUGUCAGGGGUCCAGUGUGUGUGCUCAAGUGCAUCUUAUGGAAGUGGGGUUUAUGAGGAGUCACAGGCAUAACAGAAGGAGUAUAACCCCUGAGCAGUGGGAUGGCUUAGCAACACUCCCAUAACUAACACUUGUGCCAUCAGAUAAUCUCUGACAAGCUCUCUCACGUGUUGUCCCUCAGCAUUCCAGUACUCCCGGCUCAAAUACUAAUUCCAAACCUAAAUGAGGACUUUUCCUCCACUUUUGAGCAGGAUGGGGUAUGGAUGAGAUAAGAAGAACUCCUUACCAAACAAACCAACUCACAAAACCUUGCCCUGUAUAUGAAUAUUAGCCUUGGAGGGGAGAUAUGCAUCUAUUCAAACUCUUAUGUUUAGCUUCAUGUCAAUGCAAAAAUAUAUAGAAAUCUAUUGCUUGCUGUUGACCUGCUGUGAACACAAGACCAGGCCAUACAGAAAGGCACUGGCCUCUCAUCCUGUGUGAGCUUCUAGAAGUUACUCAGUACUAUACAGACACAUUUGCUUUGAUUUUCCAGCUUAAUUCCAGCAGCUGCCUUUGCCAGAAUAUCUUGUGAGCUGGAAAGAUAGAAUAGUCUUACUGCCCCCCACUUCCUGCCAGACAGUGUCCCCCUGGAACACUUGUGUGUUUUUCUCUUUUGAAAUGAAGCGAGGAAGGAUGGUAAAGACACAGAAGCACCGUAAAUGGCUAUUGAUAGUCAUUUUAAUAUCUCUCAGCUUUGACCCUGGAGCAGGCUAUUACCCAUCAGCUGUAUUGCACUAAGGAUAAAAUAAGAAACAAGAAGUUACAGUGGAGAAAACACCUUGUGCCAACUCUCCAUCCUGUGGGAACCUCUGUUCCUAAAGCUUUGAGAAGAAUGAAGCAAUUAAUGUCUGAGAGGCUAAAGUGGAUAUUGCUCAUUAAGGUGUACUUCAUGUGUAUUUCUCCUGUUGUACUUGUGACUAACAUUGGCCUCUGGGGGCUACCUGAGGGAUAAAGUGUUGCUGCUUUAAGCAGACUGCAGGGUAAUGGCUGCUGUGGAUGCCACAGGAAGCUGGUAAUGAAGGGGAAGGUGGGCACUGAGUAGGGGAAAGUUGGCAAUUUCUGCUUGGCAGGUGUGUUUGGUGCAACAAAUCCCCCAGACUACAUCACCUAGAACCUUUUGUUUUAGCCCUAUCCCCACAUUUUGAGCUGCUUUUACUUACGAGAAAGGUAUGUCUGGUGUAUUUGUGCCCUUGGGGAUAGGUGUACAUUUCCGAUAAAUUCUGCAAGUGAGGUGUGUGUGGGAAAUACUGAAAAAUUACUGAUGCUUCUAAAAGGUUUUUAGUCUUAAUGCUCUUUCAGGCUUUCUCUGCUCACACCUGAGGUUCUGCAAAUGGUGGGUUUGAUUGUAGAAAAGGCCUAAGUGUUGUCUUUCCCACCCUUUCUCUGAAGCUAUACAAAAAUAACCGGAGGGGUGCAGGGGAGCAUAGGCAAACUGAACGGACUCAAAUUUAGAAACUAUUUAAAAGUAUUAUUUUCAUGCUGUGAAGGGAAGAGAGGCAAUAUAUUGCUCCACUGACAAAAUUGUUUGUUUUAUUUGGGGAGUAGACAGUGAGCAGCAAUAUAAGGUUGACAUCUCUCCAAGUUAGCAUUCAAAAUAAAACAUUCCUGGAACCACA